GAUGAACGCUGGCGGCGUGCCUAAUACAUGCAAGUCGAGCGAACGGACGAGAAGCUUGCUUCUCUGAUGUUAGCGGCGGACGGGUGAGUAACACGUGGAUAACCUACCUAUAAGACUGGGAUAACUUCGGGAAACCGUAGCUAAUACCGGAUAAUAUUUUGAACCGCAUGGUUCAAAAGUGAAAGACGGUCUUGCUGUCACUUAUAGAUGGAUCCGCGCUGCAUUAGCUAGUUGGUAAGGUAACGGCUUACCAAGGCAACGACGCAUAUCCGACCUGAGAGGGUGAUCGGCCACACUGAAACUGAGACACGGUCCAGACUCCUACGGGAGGCAGCAGUAGGGAAUCUUCCGAAAUGGGCGAAAGCCUGACGGAGCAACGCCGCGUGAGUGAUGAAGGUCUUCGGAUCGUAAAACUCUGUUAUUAGGGAAGAACAUAUGUGUAAGUAACUGUGCACAUCUUGACGGUACCUAAUCAGAAAGCCACGGCUAACUACGU
Molecule: ribosomal RNA, 496 nt
Filed under: uncultured bacterium
Lineage: Bacteria
Description: partial 16S ribosomal RNA
Rfam family: Bacterial small subunit ribosomal RNA
Source: RNAcentral